Molecule: ribosomal RNA, 253 nt
Filed under: uncultured bacterium
Lineage: Bacteria
Description: partial 16S ribosomal RNA
Rfam family: Bacterial small subunit ribosomal RNA
Source: RNAcentral
UACGAAGGUCCCAAGCGUUAUCCGGAUUUAUUGGGUUUAAAGGGUGCGUAGGCGGGUUAUUAAGUCAGUGGUGAAAGCCUUCAGCUCAACUGAAGAACUGCCAUUGAUACUGAUGAUCUUGAGUACGAUUGAGGUAGGCGGAAUGUGUCAUGUAGCGGUGAAAUGCUUAGAUAUGACACAGAACACCGAUUGCGAAGGCAGCUUACUAAGUCGUAACUGACGCUGAUGCACGAAAGCGUGGGGAGCAAACAGG